Molecule: long non-coding RNA, 590 nt
Organism: Felis catus (domestic cat)
Lineage: Eukaryota; Metazoa; Chordata; Mammalia; Carnivora; Felidae
Exons: 3
Source: RefSeq, a predicted model, not a curated record
CUGGACUAGGUUUCUUUCUGUAUCAUAAGCCCCGCCAGGUCUAGAGCCCGAGCCCGUGAGGAGACGCCACGCAGCCUGGUGAUUAAGAACAAACGUGGGCGUUGACGUCACAGAAAUCUGAUCUCAUUCCAGGUUCAAACACUUCACCUUCCUUGUGAGGUGUCAACGGGGAUAAUAGUCCCAAUCGUGUUGUUCAGCUAUGAAGAAAAAUGUGAUAAGAAAGUGAAAUUCUUAGCACAGUGUUCUGCUAAGGAAGAUGGAGAAUGAUGAGAUCACGAGGCUCACUGUGCCUGGGCACAGAUCCCACAAGAAGCAAGAGCCCUGCCAUGAAUGAGCAGUGACUGGAACACACUCACCUUGCCCAACAGAGCGAUGCGCUGCUGAGAGUCAGUCUCUCGCUGGCUCUCCAGUGGAUGAAGAAAAAUAAGCACUGUAAAAAUGAUGAAAGCCCUUCAGUCAGGAAACUGGACUCGGACCUAGAAAAACCAGACCGUAAACACUUGAAAUAGUAGAGAGAAAAGAUCUUCUCUAAAGAGCUUCCGUGGGGCAUCCAGUGGAGAGGCUGAAAAUAAACCUUUUGAAAAACAGAA